GAUGAACGCUGGCGGCGUGCUUAACACAUGCAAGUCGAACGGAAAGGCCACAGCUUGCUGUGGUACUCGAGUGGCGAACGGGUGAGUAACACGUGGGUGAUCUGCCCUGUACUUCGGGAUAAGCUUGGGAAACUGGGUCUAAUACCGGAUAGGAAUCACAUGUGGGUGUGUGGUUGGAAAGCUUUUGCGGUAUGGGAUGAGCUCGCGGCCUAUCAGCUUGUUGGUGGGGUAAUGGCCUACCAAGGCGUCGACGGGUAGCCGGCCUGAGAGGGUGUACGGCCACAUUGGGACUGAGAUACGGCCCAGACUCCUACGGGAGGCAGCAGUGGGGAAUAUUGCACAAUGGGCGCAAGCCUGAUGCAGCGACGCCGCGUGGGGGAUGACGGCCUUCGUGUUGUAAACUCCUUUCGUCAGGGACGAAGCGAAAGUGACGGUACCUGGAUAAGAAGCACCGGCUAACUACGUG
Molecule: ribosomal RNA, 466 nt
Filed under: uncultured bacterium
Lineage: Bacteria
Description: partial 16S ribosomal RNA
Rfam family: Bacterial small subunit ribosomal RNA
Source: RNAcentral